UACGAAGGGUGCUAGCGUUGUUCGGAAUCACUGGGCGUAAAGGGUGCGUAGGCGGCUUGACAAGUCUGAUGUGAAAGCCCGGGGCUUAACCCCGGAACUGCAUUGGAAACUGUCUCGCUGGAGUGUGGAAGGGGUAAGCGGAAUUCCUAGUGUAGAGGUGAAAUUCGUAGAUAUUAGGAGGAACACCAGUGGCGAAGGCGGCUUACUGGUCCACAACUGACGCUGAGGCACGAAAGCGUGGGGAGCAAACAGG
RNAcentral lists this ribosomal RNA (253 nucleotides) under uncultured bacterium. Its description in RNAcentral is "partial 16S ribosomal RNA". It matches the Rfam family "Bacterial small subunit ribosomal RNA", at positions 524 to 776 of the family's 1533-position model. The record is from RNAcentral.